AAGCAUCUGGAGAGCGAAAAUGGUGCAGCAGGAGACAGAAGAGUUCUGGAAGGACGAAGCUCUGAGUGCAUUGGCAGCUGAAAUCCUAUACGACUGGUGGACAAUCAAGUGGCUACUAUUGGCAUCACUCAUCAUGCUCAGGUGGAAGGACGAAGCUCUGAGUGCAUUGGCAGCUGAAAUCCUAUACGACUGGUGGACAAUCAAGUGGCUACUAUUGGCAUCACUCAUCAUGCUCAGGUUCCUUUCUCAUCUUUUAUCUGCUACCUAUAUAUAUAAAUACACUUCCGCUAAAUUACUAGCUGACAGAUAAUUUGAACCGUUUAUAUUUCUAAUGGAAAGUUAAAUGUUAUAUUUCUAAUGGAAGGUUAAGAUGUUAUAUGGGCAACGCCAGCUAGAAGAAUUAGCGGACUGGAUCAAAAAUAUUUUGUAAACCAAAACAUCGGUAAAAAAAAAUCGAGAUAACUGCUGCGAUGUGACGAUUUGGAAUUGGAACCCAACUGCGAUUUGUAUGAAAGUGAAAAGGAUUUGGGGCUGUUGCUGCGAUUUCUCCCUCCUACUGUGAUUUUAAUUGGCAAUUUCUCCAUCGACAAAGUUGAAUUGGGACAAAUACCUUGUUAAAAGAACUCUCAAAGCCAAAGCUGCUGCGAUUUCUUUCAUUUAGGCCAAUAUUUUAUAAAUGUUCAAAUAUGUGGGUUAUUACUUGUUUACUAUAUUCCGAGGAUCAGUCUAUUUUGAUUUCUGGGGCAGAGGAUGGUAUGUUCGAGUCUGGUCGCUUAUCA
RNAcentral lists this long non-coding RNA (779 nucleotides) under Panax ginseng (ginseng). RNAcentral's name for it is "long non-coding RNA (PGIN_LNC005767)". Lineage: Eukaryota; Viridiplantae; Streptophyta; Magnoliopsida; Apiales; Araliaceae. The record is from RNAcentral.